Molecule: non-coding RNA, 158 nt
Filed under: uncultured Intestinimonas sp.
Lineage: Bacteria; Bacillati; Bacillota; Clostridia; Eubacteriales
Source: RNAcentral
AGGUGCUUGUGAGAGCCGCAAGAGGGAAGCCGGGUGAGAAUCCCGCACAAGGCCGUUGCUGUAUGGGCGGAGCAGCCCCCAAGAGGUCACUGGAGCGCAGGGCUCUGGGAAGGCGGGGAGAUGCGUCGGACGCCUGAGUCAGAAUACCUGCCUGCGUA